UUACAUAAAGUCCAGCUCUGUGAAAAACUGACAGGCAUGAUGGAAUCCUUGCCUGCAGCAAGCAAAAACAUCAGCAGUCUUGGGGGGACCCUUCACCCAGGUUUUUCUUUAUGUCCUCCAGAGUUGCUGACCUGCAUUGAGAGGAGUGUCUUCACUAGGAUGUUUGUUACGGGAAUAGAACCACAUCUCUUUAUAUCCCCAGGAUUUAGCACAAUGUCCUGCACAUAGUGAAUGUUCCAACUGUGGUUUGAAAGCUAUUAAUAAACCCUAUGGCUAGAUGAGAGGUCGAUGUGUCUGCACUUCUGUUCUUUGACAUCCAGAAGUAGACUAACCCAAAGACCGAGAAAAAUCUUUUCUUGCAAAGAAGGAAUUAACUACAAAAAUGACAGUUAACUGGAACAGUUUUGUGUCAGAGAACAAGGCCAUUUUAUCUCCAAGCAACUAUGAAUUUUUCUAGUGGAAUUAAACAAUUUAACAUGAAAUGUUCACUUAUCAUCCUAUCUAGGAAGCAAACAAUAUUUCUUGAUGC
Molecule: long non-coding RNA, 529 nt
Organism: Phascolarctos cinereus (koala)
Lineage: Eukaryota; Metazoa; Chordata; Mammalia; Diprotodontia; Phascolarctidae
Source: RefSeq, a predicted model, not a curated record